UACGUAGGGUGCAAGCGUUGUCCGGAAUUAUUGGGCGUAAAGAGCUCGUAGGCGGUCAGUCGCGUCUGCUGUGAAAACUCGGGGCUUAACUCCGGGCCUGCAGUGGGUACGGGCUGACUAGAGUGCGGUAGGGGAGACUGGAAUUCCUGGUGUAGCGGUGAAAUGCGCAGAUAUCGGGGGGAAUACCAGUGGCGAAAGCGGCACCCUAGCGUUAGCCUGACGCUCAUGUGCGAAAGCGUGGGGAGCGAACGGG
This 253-nucleotide ribosomal RNA is filed under the name uncultured bacterium. Its description in RNAcentral is "partial 16S ribosomal RNA". It matches the Rfam family "Bacterial small subunit ribosomal RNA", at positions 524 to 776 of the family's 1533-position model. The record is from RNAcentral.